AGGAAGAUUGCGGCAAUAACAGGUCUGUGAUGCCCUCAGAUGUCCCGGGCCGCACACGUGCUACAUUGAUUAGCGCAGUGCGCAUACUUUCAAUAUGAUACAUUAGAUUGGAUUGUUUUAUUAAGCUCCAUCUAAUACUAUCCGGCUUGAGAAGGCUGGGUAAUCAAUUGUAAGUGCUGGUUCCUCCUCCCGUUGAGCAUUUUAAUAAUGGCCUCUCUACAUCCCUAGUAAUAUGCCUAGUGCGAUUGUAGUUGAGCCUUGCCAUUUAUGCAAGUGUCAAUUCUCAGUGGGGACAGACAUUUGAUAAUUCUUUGUCUCGUUCUUAACUAGGAAUGCCUUGUACGGGUCUUGGUUCAACAGACCACCCGGAAUACGUCCCUGCCCUUUGUACACACCGCCCGUCGCUCUUACCGAUGAAUUUCCCUGUGAGUUUGAAGGACUGGUGGUUGCAAAAUCAUUGGAAAUUCUGUCAAACAGCGAGAU
This 483-nucleotide ribosomal RNA is filed under the name Globigerinella siphonifera. RNAcentral describes it as "SSU rRNA". It matches the Rfam family "Eukaryotic small subunit ribosomal RNA", at positions 1438 to 1772 of the family's 1831-position model. Lineage: Eukaryota; Foraminifera; Rotaliida; Globigerinidae. The record is from RNAcentral.